Salvia splendens (bonfire salvia) is the source of this 1619-nucleotide long non-coding RNA. RefSeq lists it as uncharacterized. The transcript has 3 exons. The record is from RefSeq and is a predicted model, not a curated record. Lineage: Eukaryota; Viridiplantae; Streptophyta; Magnoliopsida; Lamiales; Lamiaceae.
UCCCAUUUUUGGCGCUGAACUCAAUUAUUCGGGGAACCCUAAUACCCGACCACCAAUUCCACACUCUCCCUAAUUUUGAAGCGUCUACAGUCGGCUUCGUUGUAAUCGGGUAGGAGGAUAUUCAAUCCCUAAGUUAAUUCCAGGUAUGUAUGUCGGCGGUGAGCUACCCAGCAACAUAUUUGUAGUCGCUGCACAAUGUGGAGAUGACAAUUAGUUUCGUAAUGCAAUGGUUUCUCUUUGUGGUCAUGUUGUUUGAGUUUUAUACAAUUCGACAUUCUAUUCAGUUCGAUACGUAUGUGUGUUUGUUUAUUUGGAGCAAAAAUUUGGAACAACUCAUAUCAGUCAUGAUGCGUUUAUGUAUUGUUGCUUGACUAAUCUAGUAUAUUGAAAGGUGUUUGUGCUGCCACAAAUACGAAGCAAUACACAUCACACAAACAGCAGUAAUGGGUUCACAACAUCACAGUGGUAAUGACACCGAGGGCAGUCCAUUACCAGAGGGUUGCUCUGAUAUGGUUGCGAACAAAGGAGUAGUUGCAGCUGGCGCUAGACGUUGUUGGAUAUAACGCGAGGAGGCCGUCCUUAUGGCAGCUAUGAAGGAGUUGGCCGCCACUGGUUGGAAGUCGGAUAAUGGAUUCCGUUCGGGGUAUCUAACCGUGCACUGGAGGCACUCAAACGUGAAUUUCCAAAAACUGAUAUAGUUGUUCAUCCUCACAUCAAAUCGAAAAUCACUUCUUGGAAGAAGAAUUACUAUUCGCUUAUGCAGAUACUUGACCGCAGUGGAGUCGGAUUCAAUGCAGAUGGUGAGUACAAGAUAGAUAUCGACGAUGAACAAUGGUCACAAGUUGUCCAGAAGGAUAGCAAUGCCAAGUAUAUGAGGAAUAAGUCGUGGCCUAUGUUGAGCGACUGGAAGGAGAUUUUCGGCAAGGACCGUGCGGAGGGCCUUAAGGGCUGGACACUGGGGAGGCGGUGCAAAAGAUUUAUGGGUCAAAGGUUGUGGUGGGUGAAAGUUCGGCGAUGGAUUCUCCAAUUACUUUAGAGGAACUAUUCCGUGAUGAAGUUUUCCCCAGCGGUGUUAUGCCAGAGAUGGUUGAUGAGUGCACUUCGGCUCCGGCGCAUGGCCGUGCACAUCCGAGGGUACAAAACAAGGCAACGAAGAAGAGGAAGACUGAAGACAAGAUGGAUACUAUCCUUGCUCUUAUGAAUCGCAUCCACGAAGACACUAAUGAGCGGUUGAAGGACAUCUCUAGCCGAAUUGGUUAUGAGUUUGAUCUAAGCACGAAGAGAACCGAAGUGUUCAAUCAGUUGAAAGGGAUGCCUGGACUGACUACCAAGCAACAAUUCUAUGCCGCAAAAAAGUUGGUGAAGGAACCCGAGCUGAUGGAUCUGUUUAGGGGUUUGGAUGUCGUGUCUCGCCCGGCAUUUGUGCUCGAUCUUCUAGAGACAGACGGAAUGAUCUGAAAAGUGUGGAUUCUGUCCUUUUUUUGGCUAUUUUGUAAUAUAUCAUGGUUAAACCUUGAUCCAUGCAACUAAGAAUUUCGGAUGCCCACAUUGCCCUGUAGUUAGACACGCAGCUUUUUGUCUAUUAUCAUAUGCGUGGCAUGGACUACGGUUUUAUAAUU